Molecule: ribosomal RNA, 253 nt
Filed under: uncultured bacterium
Lineage: Bacteria
Description: partial 16S ribosomal RNA
Rfam family: Bacterial small subunit ribosomal RNA
Source: RNAcentral
UACGGAGAGUGCAAGCGUUAUCCGGAUUCACUGGGUUUAAAGGGUGCGUAGGCGGGUAAGUAAGUCCGUGGUGAAAUCUCUGAGCUUAACUCAGAAACUGCCGUGGAUACUAUUUGCCUUGAAUAUUGUGGAGGUGAGCGGAAUAUGUCAUGUAGCGGUGAAAUGCUUAGAUAUGACAUAGAACACCAAUUGCGAAGGCAGCUCACUACACAAUCAUUGACGCUGAGGCACGAAAGCGUGGGGAGCGAACAGG